This 253-nucleotide ribosomal RNA is filed under the name uncultured bacterium. RNAcentral describes it as "partial 16S ribosomal RNA". It matches the Rfam family "Bacterial small subunit ribosomal RNA", at positions 524 to 776 of the family's 1533-position model. The record is from RNAcentral.
UACGAACCGAGCGAACGUUAUUCGGAAUCACUGGGCUUAAAGGGCGCGUAGGCGGGCCAUCAAGUCAGGGGUGAAAGCCCCCAGCUCAACUGGGGAAGUGCCUUUGAUACUGGUGGUCUCGAGGGGGAUAGGGGCAUGCGGAACUUCCGGUGGAGCGGUGAAAUGCGUAGAUAUCGGAAGGAACACCGGUGGCGAAAGCGGCGUACUGGGUCUUAUCUGACGCUGAGGCACGAAAGCUAGGGGAGCGAACGGG